Molecule: ribosomal RNA, 421 nt
Filed under: uncultured bacterium
Lineage: Bacteria
Description: partial 16S ribosomal RNA
Rfam family: Bacterial small subunit ribosomal RNA
Source: RNAcentral
UGGGGAAUAUUGCACAAUGGGCGCAAGCCUGAUGCAGCCAUGCCGCGUGUGUGAAGAAGGCCUUCGGGUUGUAAAGCACUUUCAGCGAGGAGGAAGGGUUCAGUGUUAAUAGCACUGUUCAUUGACGUUACUCGCAGAAGAAGCACCGGCUAACUCCGUGCCAGCAGCCGCGGUAAUACGGAGGGUGCAAGCGUUAAUCGGAAUUACUGGGCGUAAAGCGCACGCAGGCGGUUUGUUAAGUCAGAUGUGAAAUCCCCGCGCUUAACGUGGGAACUGCAUUUGAAACUGGCAAGCUAGAGUCUUGUAGAGGGGGGUAGAAUUCCAGGUGUAGCGGUGAAAUGCGUAGAGAUCUGGAGGAAUACCGGUGGCGAAGGCGGCCCCCCUGGACAAAGACUGACGCUCAGGUACGAAAGCGUGGGGA